AACUAUUGGAAACGAUAGCUAAUACCGCAUAACAAUGGAUGACACAUGUCAUUUAUUUGAAAGGGGCAAUUGUUCCACUACAAGAUGGACCUGCGUUGUAUUAGCUAGUAGGUGAGGUAAUGGCUCACCUAGGCGACGAUACAUAGCCGACCUGAGAGGGUGAUCGGCCACACUGGGACUGAGACACGGCCCAGACUCCUACGGGAGGCAGCAGUAGGGAAUCUUCGGCAAUGGGGGCAACCCUGACCGAGCAACGCCGCGUGAGUGAAGAAGGUUUUCGGAUCGUAAAGCUCUGUUGUAAGUCAAGAACGG
Molecule: ribosomal RNA, 312 nt
Filed under: uncultured bacterium
Lineage: Bacteria
Description: bacterial SSU rRNA
Rfam family: Bacterial small subunit ribosomal RNA
Source: RNAcentral